Molecule: long non-coding RNA, 17808 nt
Filed under: Gallus gallus (chicken)
Lineage: Eukaryota; Metazoa; Chordata; Aves; Galliformes; Phasianidae
Source: RNAcentral
UGUGCAAGGUGCCUGGGGGGGAGGAGGAAGACAUGGCUGAUGUGCUCUGUUUUACAGUUACUUUUACGGGUGCUGGAUAGCGCAGGAAAAAACUUCAGUGUAAAAGUUCAGGAAUUUUGCCCAAAGCGAGUCCAACUGAAAGCAUUCCAUCUGCGUAGAGACAUAGGCACGGACAUUCAUGUACUGGUUCAAUAAUGUAAGCAUGAGCAUGGUUUUUAAAACAACUGGAGUGUUUUAAAAUUGUGUAUUCUGAAGGAAUCUGUUGGGCGAGGGACUUCUGCAAACACCUGGAGUUUUGAAUGAGGCCAUGGAGUUCAGGCCCAAUCACUGCCCUGUAUUUGUACAGAGGGGAACCACAGUCUAAAUCUAUUCAUGUGAGUCUAUGAAAUCCCAAAAGUCUGAAGAAUAAACAGUCUCUAGCAGGAGCAAGUUUACAUGGAAUUUGCUAGAUCCAAGUACGUGUUGCACUGUUCACUGUGACUGAAUGUCACUAAAUGUUCUGGAGCUGCAGGAGGGAGGCAGAACAACUCCAGGGCUUGCUCGAUGUUGGCUCUCCCUUAGCUAAGGCUAUUAGCUUUAAAAAUCACAGUAAAUCUCUCACCUGCAGUGAUAGGUUGGGAAAGAUAGUUUAUUAGCACUUACCAUUAUACUUUUUUAAAGGCCAUUUGUUCACGUUUUGGAUUUGAAUAGUUACACUGUAGUUCAUUGUUGCUGCCAUGUUUCUUACCAUGUAGAUUUGUUUUAAUUAGUGGUAUUCAGACAGAGCUCAUCGGCCUUAAGGCAGGAAGAGUUACCUCAUUUAUUUGUUGCUGUUUUGGAAUUGUCAAACAGAAAUGAUGGCAGCUGAACUUCAUGAAUUAUUUUUCUCCCCCCUUCUUUCUGAACAAAUAAUUAUUUUCUAGUUCUGGUAGGACUUUACUGGGGUACACAUGGCUUCCUUUGAGUUGCUUUAAAAGAGAGAGGUUACCAGAGUGCUUUAGAUAGGCAGAUCUUAUAUUACAGAUGCAUGGUGGUUGGUUGUAUUUUUUACUGUAAUGUUCAAAACAUUAUCAGUCCACUGGGAAAUGAAUAGUGAUGCAUUAUUAAAACUGUUGCCUUCUAGGUGAGCACGUAAUUAGUUAACUGCAAGCCAUUGUUUUUGUUGCUUAUUGCUGGAAAAUAUAAUAAAGACGUUCAUUAGCAUUGACGAGCCUUUUAAAAAAGAUUUGAAUGACUGAAAUGUAAGUCUCUGGGAUGGUAAGAUGCCUAUGAAAUAUAAGAAUUAUUGUUUCAAAAUGGAAUAUGAUUGCUCAGGAGCACAGGAAUCGGUGCUCUUCCUAUUGCAGUGAACAUACAGGCUGAGGAAAGACAAAACGUGGAGAAAACCACCAAGAAAUGAAAGAACAAAGAACAGAAAUGGUGAGGCGUGUGGAGGUCUUCACAGAAAGAAGGUAUGACAAUGUCUUAAGUCAGGCAUCCAGAAACAGCAGCUUUUGGAAACACUGACUGCUUUCUGUGAGUGAAAAUAAGCCCCGUGUAUGUGAGAUGGAAGGCUGGGAAAUAAACAGGGAGGGCCUUUGAAAAUGUUAUUUUUACAGGAACGUUAUUUACUGUAUUAAGAAUGUGUCUGUGAAUCUUUACCAGCAGUGCUGAUAGCAAAAGCCUUGGUAAAGCAGUUAGAACUUGAGAAAGCUGAAAGCAAAAUGCUGAAGCUGUUGCUUGAGGAUUGAAAUUUAGACUUCUGGAGGAGACAGAACAAAGAACGUGGUGGUAUUGUGAAAAUGCCUUAAAAAUGUGAUUUUAAGAUACACAGAAACUCAAACCGUUACAAAUCUCAGUGUGAGAGGUGGGUAUUCUGCACUGUCAUAUUAGGCGGAGAAAAUCCAGCUGAGGUUAAGCUGGGUCUGAACUGGAUUCAGUCUCGAUGAUGACGUGCUAUCCAGUUUUUCACCAUCAAAAACCAGCAUUCAGUGGCUGUAAGGAAACAUGUUUUUCUUUAACUGUAUAACUUUGAAGAAGCAUUUGACAGCUUCCAUCGCAAUUUUCUCUGGCACAUUUCAAAGUGUUAGAGUAUGGCAAUGCAAGUAAUUAACAACACAGGUUUUCAAAUCAGGUUACAACUUUCACAUUUCAAUCAUUCACUACAGUUUGUGUUUACUUUAAAAUAAAAACCGGUCCUUUUACUUCACACUACCCUUGACACUAUUGUAGAAAAUCCUAGAUAGAUGCAGUGCAUUUGUCACAGACCUUACAAAUGGCACUUGAAGACGCGUUUUGCUGGUGGCACAGUUCUCUCACAUGGCUGCUGUGAAAACAGAGAACGUGCUGUCCAGAAGAUGGUGGGAGUGGAGAAGAGCGACAGGUCCCAGCUGGAGCCUUGCUACAGAGCUGCGUGGGGCUGAAGCAGCAUCCACAUUCCCAUCUCUGCUGAUGGCUCUGUGCCUGCUCUGGGUUCAAAAGCACAAGAAAAGACAAGUUUCCAUUUUCGUAUAGUUCAGUGAUUCUGCAAACUAAAGAUUGUCUUCCUGUUAUGUUUGGUAGCCAUUGGUAGGCACUUCUCCAUGAAUCUGCCUGAUCGCUUCUGAACCCUUUUAUAUUUAGGGAUCUAAGAUGACCAAGGUAGUAUUGCUUACCAGAAGAUGAGCAGCCAAGUCUGUUGCUUUCCAACCUGUAAUAGGAGAUAUUAAACCAACAACCUGUAAUAGGAGAUAUUAAAGAGAAGUAAUCUCACAGGUGAGCAACAACCUGUGAUGCUGUUUUCAUUCUUGGGUGUGAAUGAGUGAAAGGCCAAAAUCUGCCAGAAGAAGAGAUGUACUUAAAUCCAUCAGACAUGAGACCUCAGAAAUGAAGGGUAAUAGGUCUAUUGGCUUAUUUCUUUCCUUUGGGAAAGAGAAAGUUUUUCGGAUGUUGGGGCAAAAGGUGGGAUGUUGUCUUACUAAUGACUGUUCUUCACAUUUCCAAGGGUAUUUCUGCUCCUCAAAAUGGAGGUUCCUGCAUCAGAUUUAAGGGGGGGGAAAAAAAGCCGUUUAUUCCCAAACAGGGCAACCCACCUAAAGUGGGAUGGUAGGUUCUUGAGGGCUUCUGCUAGAAGGUGGGAGUGCUUUCUUUUAGCUUUCCCAAACUUGUUCCAAAAGGACAUACACUAUGUUUUUCAGAAAGUUAAAGAAUAAUUAGAACCAUUGUACACUGAAUGAAUUUCAUUCUAGAAUGCAGAGGUACUUUGCUGCUGCCUGUAGUGCAAACAGCUUAUUCUAGAAGCAUUAGAUGCUUAUAACUGUCUUAUUAUUAGCAUUUUUCCUUGACAAUACUCAGUUUCACAAUUUGAUUACUGAAAAGUGUUUUUCUACACAUCUUCAUAUAAUGUUAAACAUGUAAACAACUACAUCAAGAAGUUUUGGUGGAAAAUCACAAAAGCUAAUGCUGUUGUUGCGUGGUGAAUCCACUACGGGGUAAGUCUUCCUGCGGUCACCACGCCUGCACCCCAGGAAGGCUAUGGCAUAUCCUGCACAGCACUGUCUCUCAGCCUGGACUAGUAACGAGAACGAGCCCAGGUAUGCAUCACUGCAUGUCUGUCUGUCUGAACUGCCUUCCCUGGAUCUGGUGGAAUUAGCAAGCCUUCCUCUCCUUAAUGCCCCCAUCUUUUCAGUUGGCCCUCACUUGGGGGGGGUGAAGUGAGGACUAAAAAAGACAAUUAGGUUUUAUUAAUGGCUGGAUUAAAAAGCAAAUUGAUACGUACAAUUGCAAGGCUGACGUGACGACAGAAUGUACUCUACUGAAUUUAUUUGACAAAUACAGUUUGAAGCAUUUAGCUAGUUAUGCUUCCCAAGUAGUUAUUUAUGGCAUACUGCAUAGUGCUAUUAUAAAGGCAAAGAUCACUCUUUGUUCCUCUCCAUAAUUGAAGCGACCAGAGUGUGAGAGGUUAUCAAAGCUGUGGGUGCAGAGAAGUGUCUACUGGCACUGUCUGUAUAAAUCCUGCAGCAGAAAGCUCUGGAGUGCAAGGUCUCUAGAGAAAUAUUCCAGGGUGAUCAUCUCCUAUUUCUGUCCUAAACCACAUCAUCUUCCCUUCCCUCACCCCCUUCUGACAGUUGCCUUAUCUUCCUCCAAGGAAAGGGCUCUGACUGCGUCUCAUCAGCUGUUCAUGGCCUUUCUGAGAGGCACAAAACAGAGCCCUGGAUACCAUGAUAACCAACCCAAAGUGGCAGCAUGAAUUCAACACUGCAUUAUAUGGAUUUUUCUGGCUUGCAUCUCCUGCUGUUGCAGCACUGUCCCCUGUAGGCUUGCUUUCUAAGUGCCUCUAAGCUAACUAACAAAGCACGGGUUAAUGCAGCAAGGAUUACUGAUGUUCCUCUCCUCAGCACAAGGUUUUGAUUCUUGCUGAGGUUUUCCAAGCAUGUAAAAAGUAAGUAGUUGGCUAUUCCUGCUCAAGAGCUUUCUUUACUCUGUAAGCAUUUAUUAUGAGAAACAAAGGGAAAAGAUGCUUACCUGAAUUGUGGUUUUCUGAACAGUGAAUUGAAAUGCUCUUGCAGGGAAGUGAUAGGGAAAGAUUCUGGAGAGGAAAAUCCAGGUAAACACAUGGGUCCCAAACACACUGCUGUAUCCGUGUUAGCAGUGACUUGAGUGGUACAGUAGAUACCACGAGCAUAGACUCAUUCUGUGCUGUUUCUGUCUUAAAACAAGGGAAAAAAGAGAGAGGAAAGAAAAAAAGAAAGAUGUUGUCAUUGUGCCAUAAAUAACUUCUACAUCUUUUCUUGGGUUUUCGUUUUCUGUGUUAAAAUUUUGUAUUCAUAUUGACAGUGUUUAAAGAGGCAUUUGACAUAGAGCCUAUGUACAUUUUGUUACUUUCUGAUUCACGGUCCUUGCCUGUUUGACUCUUCUCUGUAUUCUCCUACUAAGUUGGAUUUAUGCGGGAAGAUUCAGUUAAAUACUUGAUUUAGUUCCUGUGUACUUUAGGUUAGAGGAAAAGAACAAAUAUUACUUAAAUUCACUUUUACAGUAAAAUUAAAUUCACUUUGACUCUUAAGAUCUCUUCUUUGAGACUAAUAUGUUACUAAUAUAUUAAUAUGUAAUACGUUACAAAUAGAAUGCAUCCAUUGAAGAAAGACCAAUAGUUUCUUCUAGCUACAAAACCAAGCCAUUAAUUUUUGGUCGCUUUGCUUUAACCCUGGUGAUUUUACCUGUAGACUCCCUCAAUAAUUAAUCAUCAAGUCGAUGCAUAAUAUUUCACUUCAGUGGCAUUCUUUAAGAAUGUGAAUGCUUGUUUAUGGCGUAUUUCAUUCUGACAGGUAGAUUUAGAUAUAUUUGUCUGAAAAUAUUGGCUUAUAUAGGUGAAAUAGCUUUUGGCAGCCUUUUUUUUGCUCCAGUGAGUGUUAGACGUAGUUCUGUUUCUGAUUGCUCACUGUUAAUAAAAACACAUGCUCCGCUCUAUCAUAAAGCACAGAGCGUUUGCGGGGUGUAUUGGUUUGAGACAGUUCUUCUGGCAAUGGGAUUUUUCCUCAUCCUCACUUUGCCAUAUUUUGGCUGGCUGUGUUCAAAGCUCUGUGAGAGGUUCUCCCCAUCCAUGCAGCCUGUUCUUUUUUCCCUUUCCUCUAGUAAAGAUUGCCCUGUCCCUGCUGGUGUGCUAACAGCUAAUGACAAGCUCUGAAGCUGACAGGCAAUGUGAUUCCCAGACUGCAAUGCCAGCUGCUUUGGAGCUGGGAAGAGAUCCAACUGCUAAGGGCAGCCUGUUUUGCAACGGCAGCAGUAGCAUCUGGUUGUUUCGAAGUCUGUACGUGGUGGAAGCUUUUCUCUGUUUAUCAGUUUCGUUUUGGAUGGCUAGAGGUAAGAAGGUCAACUCCAAUUCUUAUUCUUUCUUGCUUUUCAGCCAUUGCUUGAAUGUGGCAGGUUAUCUUAAGAUAACUGUAGAUGAAUAAAACUGAGUUCUGCAUAUUUCAGUUUAUGAUUCUGAGCACCGUGGAACCAUGGGUUGUAUAUUCAAACAUACAGCUCUCUGCAGUUGGACUGGCUCUUUAGUUCCUGCCACGUACAUAUGGAGCUUGCACCUGGAACAGCAGCAUCCGAAGUAAAAGGAUGGCAGGCUGACAUGUAGUGCUCAUCUGCAGGUGGCAAUUGUGAUGAGAGGUUAAUAAAUCAACUGAAAAAGGACCCAAAAAUUAGCUGAGAAAUGGGGGGCCAUUCUCACUGAGGUUGUUUGCACCUUCUGAAAUUUUCCAAGAGUGAUACAGGUUGGACUUCUAGUUUGUUUGAUAAGAUACUUCUUUUAGUAAGAUACUGCAGAAUAACAUGUAAGUGACCCUUCUAAUUGAGAGGGUUACACAUGACCAUUUUCUGUUGUUAUCACUUACUGGUAGAAUUUGGCUUGAUUUUCCCAUUGUCAAUAUAUUGACUGGUUAGUUAUCAUCUGGCUAGGUGCUUCAGUCUCAAUCCUGCUACUUUUAUUAAGAAAUACAGUCUUCCUUACUUUCUUUGAAAUGUUUUACAGCUGUGGACAUGCGCUCUGUUUUGCAAAGAGGGGAAGCUGAGCAGAAUAAGGAGAACUGACUUGUUUGAGGCCAUGCUGAAAGUAGAUGCAGAAGUGAAAUCUCUUGACAAGCCGCAGUUCAGUGUUCUGGCUGUUUGGCUCUGUGACCUCUCACAAAGGAGGCUUGCCAAGAUGAUGGAGGCAGCCUGGGAAAUCAGAACUGCAAAUGUCAUAAUUAAAACAGUUUGCCACUUUUCCCAAGCUUCUGAAGAGAGAAUCCCAUCUGGUAUGCAGUGUGGUGUGAGAUGGAGGAGAGCCCUCGCUCAAGAAACAGCUCUUUUCCCGUCAGCAAAAUUUCUGUAAUAGAUUUUGUUUACUAUGGAAACACUUGGAUUUCAGGGAGCCACCAAGUGACUUAUAGCAAGAGCACUGUGUGUGCCUUUUGCAAAAGACUACUACUCAGGCAUCUGGAAGGGAUCCAUCUACUGAGUUCUUCAUUUCUAGAGUAAAACUCAUUGAGUAGAGCUACCAGGUGGCAAGGUGACGCCAAGUUGUGCUUUGUCACCUUGUGGUGACUUGUGCAAUGCACGUCACAGUGUCCUGCAGGAGCGAAGAGCAUGGAAAGACAUGCUGUACACCACUGCUUUGUCUUGUGUGCUGAACUGCAUGUGAGUUCACCUUGGGUAGUCCAAAAGCUUGUAUAAAAAUGGGCCCAAUUUCUCUGUGGAGGAAGGAAUGGUGGCAGAGAGCAGCAAUAUAUACAUUUAAUUACUGCAGAACGAUGAUGAGGAAAGCAGAGGUAACAGGUAUCCAUAUGGAGAUUUCUGAAUUUCGAGUGGUUGAGUUUUUAGGACUUGUGUACCCCUGAAAUUGUCACCUUCUCUGGCUUUCAUAUUUUUCCAAGAGAUGGCAUCAUUUUGUAAUGCAUCUUGCUGCCAAGUCAAACAGUUCAGACUAAUGAAAUGAUUGCAUAAUGCUACUGAGAAUGUGCUGUAAAAUACUUGGAAGACGUGCCAAUAGUGAGCAGUGUAUUGUGACUAUCUCUAACAGCAAGUGCACUGGUCAUUUAAGGAAAAAAAAAAAGAACACAAAAAAUGAACAAACAAGAAAACAAAAACAACCAUGCAGGGGAAAAAAAAAAAAGCAUAAACAAACAGAAAAACCCAGCGCUGUAGAACUUGCCUUUGAAUUAUUAAAAAAUAAAAACAAAGUAAUCCAGAAUCCAAACAACUAAAAGAUUAAGGGGCUUACAUAGCUGCGAAACACAGACCCUUUGGGAGCACAAGGAAUUGGAAAAGUGGUGUUUGUAGCUCCAUCAAGAAGAGAGUACACAAGAUGAGGCCUAAAUGUAUUAUUUCUUAAAAGCAAAUGUGCUUGCCAUGGGAUUGGUUUUACGUGCAGAGGAGGUUGUAUCUUCCUCAUCUUCAACUCACCCUCAAACAAAACACUGAACUCGUUCAAGGGCUUUGCUUUUUACAAGGACCUGGGUACUUCAGGAAGAUCUACCUGUAUGUCAGCUUGUGUUUGCGUGACACCGAGUGCUUCUGGAGCAAAGAAACGGGCAGAACUUCUAAGUAAGCCAUGGCUGGAGAAGAGUGUGCUUUGCAGUGCUGUGUGCUUCGGCUGACUUUGUGAACAGACACAAAUAAUGCCUCAGGCCUCAUCUGUCAGAGCAGGAUGUAUCCUUUAGCAGAGGUGUGGGAAAGCCUAAAGCAGACUUUCCAGUGUUUAAACGGACCAGGGACAAGCAGAUCAUUGUUAAUGGGCUUCAUCUGCUCUGUCUGGUCGGUGCUGGACAGUGGGUGCAUUUGCAGCUGUAAUUGCAGGCAGCUUCUGGUUCCCUGUGCUGGAGGAGCAGAGUGGCUGCCCAUUCCUCAGCGAUGAGGAAAAGGAAAAAGAGCACAGGGCAAGGGGUGGCUGGGAGGCAGGAGAGUGGGGGAAGUCUUAUGCUUGCAAAAACAGUAAUAUAAAAAAUCCACCACUCACUGACGUAUGCUGCCUUUGCAUGUGUAUGUUGUGUGUGGCUGCCCACUCACUUGGAGUGACAUUUAAUGUUGGUACAAGCAUUUACGACUAUUGCUGGAUUCAAAGUAUUCUCUGAGAUUGCCUCAAAAGCUGCAUUUAUCCCUCAGGGGCAAAGGUGUACGUGUUUGGUUCCUUCCUUUUCAAGCCAUUCUUGCACCCUGCCAGGAGUCUGCCUGAUGAGAUAAACAGAUAGUAGGUGGAAUUUACGGAUGGUUUACUGAGCAUCAGAAGAGACUGACUAGUCAUUAGAUCGUUAGUAGUUACGCUGCCUUUACUGAAAUAAUGCCCUUCCAAGUAACUGCUCUGAGCAGGCAUGGAUUACCAGACUGAAUCUUGUGAUUCAGAUCAGUGUGGAUUGGAAGAAGUUAAUAUCCUGGGAAGAGAUGGAACAGCUGUAUUAGUAUGGGAAUUGCUACGUUUUAUGUGGUCCACUUCAUCCUAUAACAUAAGGCAAUAAAUGCAGUUAUCACACGUUCUUAAAAGAAAAUGACCGUAGCAGAUGCUGCGAAUUAGCUCUGGGAAAGCUAUAUGAUUGAGAGCUACGUGAGAGCAAAAGGGUUGAGCUGUACAGGAUGUGAUUCAUCUCAGCAGUGAUGUUGCAUUUCUUCAUCCUUUUUUGGUGUGAUUGGUGCAAAGAAAUACUCAGUAACCAAUGAAACAUAUAGGAUGACUGUAAAUUACAUGUGUGGGGAAUUAUAGGUAGAGUAAUGCUGCACAGCUCCAUUGAUUUUUACUGGGGAUGUGCAAAUUGUCUGUGCUCAAGUACUUGGCCAGCUAUCUUAGAAACAAAAUAGAACUGUCUAAUGAUGACUGUUUUGUGAAGUAAAUAGAUGUUCCAUGCUAAUCUAAUGCUGAUCUCAGAAGGUGCUACCAGAUGAUCAUGGAAAAUAGUGCAGCUAUUAGGUGAAAUACUCCAGCUACUGGGUUGAAAAUCUAUUUUGUUUGAAAUUAAGUUACUGUUUACUUGAUCUGAUGAAUGAGUCUUGGCAAGGGGAAGCUUCGUUCUGGGCUGAUCUCAGAUGCAUGCAAAUGGCUCUUGUUUUCAACAGAGCCAGGCCUGCUAGAAGAGAGUGGAGUGGUGCUCCUGUGACCAGCACAAACCAUUGCUGGCACUGAACAGUAUUUCAUGACCCCAUUAAUCAGGAAGAAUGAGAAUGUGACAUAAAUACCAUACUGAUACUCAGAACGUGACACAAUUAGUACUGAAGUCAUGUGAAUAUUUAGUGACAUUACUCCUGCAGCUGCUCUUUGCAGUGGUCACAAUAUCUCUAAUGCUUGUUCACUUUUUUCUCCUCCUCUCCUUGAGAACUUUAACCCCCGGGCAAAGUAAUUUUCCUCGUAAAUACAUGAACAAUAAAACCAGUCCUCAUCAAGAGGGUUUGUGAGCACACUGAGAACUGACUUUCUCUGAAAAAAAAAACAAAAAACCAUAAGUAAUAACUGCACAGAGCCAGAUGAGAACUGAACAAAAAGAAAGGGGAGGUUCUUGGAACAAACCCAACGUGUGUCAGAAGGCCAUGAAACACACCUCUGCAACCGUGAGGCAGGUCCUUGGCUCAGGGCCGGGGAGAGGAAGUCUGGAGAAGAUCAGACAGCAAUAAACAGUCCUGGUUUAUAAAGGACAGAUUCUGCCAGGCAGAUUUCAUCAAAACUUUAGGUCAAGUUACACAAGUAGGGGAUGAACAGGAACUGUGACAUCAGGUUGGGCAACCUGACGGAGCUGUGCAUGUCCCUGUGCAUUGCAGGGGAGUUGGACUAGAUGGCCUUUAAAGGUCCCUUCCAACUCUAAGGAUUCUAUGAUGAUGUGAUAACUAAGAGUUAUCAAGUGAGACCUGACAAGUUUGGAAAGGAAAUCCAUUCCUUUGCUUUAUACUGUUUUAAGGUACAAAUAUUUCUGAGAUGGUCCUGGGUAAGGCAUUACUUUUCUAACUCAGCAGUGACUGUAAAGAAUUCAUGAAAAUAAAUUUCUGAUACGAAUUUUUGCAUUUUUCAAUAUGUGUUUUGAUCAGUAGGAGUGUUGGUAGAAAUAUUUCCACCUGGUCUAUUAAAAAUAGUUAUUUAGGGGAAAAAAAAAAAAAGGAGAUGCCCUUUAGGUUGGAGAGAACUUCAGGAACAGAAGUAUAAGCUUAUGCCCUAAAACUGGGCUAAUUGAGGUGUAGGUGAACUGUUAGGUCAGGGCUUGAAGUGGUGAUUGAGCACCUGGUGAAGGGGUGUGGCUGUCCAGGGAGCACAUGCAGAUAGUUUGCAUCCGUGCUCCCCAGCUGACCAGAAGGGGUGGACACAGGUACAGCCCUCUGGGCUCAUGUAAAGGCAUGCUGCUGACAGGGGAGCAUCUCUUGGACCUGGACUCCUUUUGAGGAGUGUUGUACAGCCAGUGAGCCCUUUCACCAGCGGGGUGAGUUUGACUCUUCUUUCUGUGUAGGACUACUAGCCUACCUGUGAAUGCUUUAUCUGGUAUUUCCAAGGACCUGUCAGAAGCAAUUCUGCUCCUUCGUAAGCAGUAUGUGAAGUAACUGAAAGCACGUAGAUCUUAAGGCAGUGCUUUAGUGCUAUAGUUGGCUCAUGCCAGUCAGACCUUAACCUGUGUGUGGAAGCAGGAAUUUCACAGAACUUUGGGGGGAAGUCUUUGAAAUUCAGAUGCUGACUGCAAAUUAUGUAAAAUAAAUCAGUACUUGCUAAGUUUCUUUCUUUAUAAAGAUAUUAUUUGUUUUGGAGGAACGUCAGGUCUGUCUACAGCAUUCCUAUGUCCUUAAGGAAAGGUGCUACGUUAAAUAUAACAACCCACAGAUACCAUCUAUUUUACAUCCUAACUGUAUGCUGUUUGGUUAGUAGGAAAAAGGCAUUAGAAUAAAAGCAUGAAGUAGUUAAAAACGUCAGAAGCUUCUGCUUGAGAGAGUAUCGUUAUUUUAGAGCUGUAGCAAUUCUAAUUAGCAGACUUGUCCUUCAUAGAGAAGAAUGUAUCCAGAGGGUAUGGCUGCAAUCCAGCUGUAAUUGCGAAUGUUUCUUAUAUUCAACAGUCACAACUGUUGCUAUUGAGAAGUGGAGAAUGCAUUCACUGUUCAGGAAAGGAAUAUUUUAGGGAUCCUAGUCUCUAAUGAGCACCUAUCCACACAAUUAAUUUUAUUGCCAGUGAUAAGCAACCCACAGAUGUGCUUUUCAAAGCAGUGGGCACUUGAACUAGUAGUCAGAAGCCAGCACUGACCAGACAAGUGUUCUGCUACAGUGGUACUCCCAACCCUAGUCAAGUCUAUUUAGCAGGUUGUGCCUCUGUAAAACAACAAAUAUCUGUACUUCAUUCAUAAUUUCAAUAGUUGCUGGGGGGGGAUUCACAAUAUAAUGCAUUUCUUUCCUGGAAUACAUGUGAUCAUUUGAAGUUAGUAGUGAUGAAGACUUCUGCUUAGCAACCCAAAGCCAAAUAUUUACACACAGAAGCAUGGCUUGGGAGGUGGGGAUCUUACACAGGCAAAUAGGGAUAUGCUGAAUAUAAUGGUGCGUAGUUGGGAGUAGAGUAAGGUAAAUGAAGUGUGUUUUUGUUUCUUUCUUGUUGUUUCCUCACACAAAAUAAUCUGCCUUCUGCCCUUGGUCUACUUGUGCAAACAGAGUGGUUUGACCUGAGCUGGAUAAUCUCUGUGUGCUUUUUCAGUGUCGCUUAGAACUGUUUCAUGAUGUUCCAACAGACUUUGAGUGUGCAUGUAUUUGGAUGGCGUUUUUAGAGGAACAUCACACAAACGUUCAAGACAUGAAAUACCUUCAAGCCAGACUUUUAGAAAUGACAAUUAACAGAAGUAUUUCUUUUUUCAGUAAAUGUGACUUAAGGAGAUAGGGCAGGAGAAGUCAGUAUGAGCUCACCCAAAUUGAAAACAUCAAACCAGCAGCUGUGCAGUACUGCUGGGAGGAGGUAGCUGUGAUCCAAGGGAGGUUUUCAAGUGCUUUUACUCCACGUUGCUGGGAAGAAAACUGUUUUAAACUAUCGAUGGAGGGAUGUUUUGCUGUCAGUGCCCCGGUGUUGGAAAUAGAUUACAACUCCUCUCAUGGCAGUGAAGUUGCAGAUGCACAGUUGUGAAACUGGACCACAACCACAGCGCGUGUAAUCCUGCAGAGUAUUACCAACUUGAUUUGUCUUGUAGAAACCCUUAUAGAAAGGGGUUUGUAAAAUCUUGGUACAGAGCAUUUUAUAGAUGCAGAGCUUAGAUCUGGCAUGUGGCUGGCUGCUAACAGGGCCUUCACCUUGGCACAGCCAGAGGGCCCAAGUGCCACUGGGUUUAGGUGGCUAGAGGAAGGGUAAAAAUACAGGCAAAACUUUUCAGGUUGGUAUUUGUGGUCACGUUUAGUUCUGCAGGACUCUUGAGUAAAGAACUUGAUGACAGACCAGAUAAGUACUUCACAGAAAAUGCUUAUAGUAAUGAGGAGCCUGACAAUUUCCAUAAGCACGGGAGCAAUCCUGCCCAAGGUGAAUGAGUGAUUCAAAUUAAACUCCUGCUAGAGUAAGGCACACAGGAGCUUCUCAAAAUAGAGAGGAAAUCCUUCAGGUUAUUCAGGUUUAUACAACUAAUAAAAUAAAUAGGACAUCUCAUACAUCUCGUUUAUCCUAAAACCUCACUCUGUGUUUUGCUACUAUCAUGUAUUACAAGAGAUUGUCUUUUGAGGCCGAUGUUUUACAUCUGUUGUCUAGGGCUGAUGGCCUCAGUGACGUGAAAUAGGAAAAGAGUAAUUCCAUCUAUUGACUCUGUGCAGCAUUUCAUCAAACUCACUGGAACUGAAUUCGCCAUCUGUGCCUUUUUGUCAGGGUCAGUAAUAGCUUUUUCUAACCAUUUAUUUCUUAGAGGGCCCUGUUUUCCCUGCCAGGUACGUGACAUUAAUACACUUGCUAAUGUACAUUCCGAAUAAAAUUACCAGGUAGUUGCUACACUUUCUUUAAAGGCUGGUUUGCAUUUCUUUGUUACCUCCGUCUUUGCAGAGAAGCUUAAAAAGUAAUUUUUUGAAUGAGUUAUUCUCUUUUCUCUGCUGAGACGAAUAAUUCACAGAGCACCUUGUGCCUUCUGAGGCUGUUUUCAAGCUGGUAAACCAGAAAUGUCACUUAGGAGUUCUAUUACAGGCUAGAGACACCUCUAACUGGAGCACCGUGUACCAUACCUACCUCUGGAAAUAGGGUUCGGCUCCCUUUCGGUGCGCUAGAGAAGACAGCUUCAGGUGGAGUGUCUGAAUUUACUCUGCCUACAUUUGGCAGACAGAAAGGCAGCAGUUGUUUUUGCUUCUCUACAGCUCCCUCCCCAGAUAUCUCCCUCCUGGCUGAGCGGUGGAAGCUAACAUUUAGCCCUGGAUGUACCCACGCAUAUUUGCUGUCAUCUUUGAACACUCCGCUUGCUUUAAUCUCUUGGCACUCCUUCCUCCCUUCCCAAUUUUGAGAUGGCUGUGGAUCUCCUUGAGGAGCAGGUGCUUGUCAAGGACUGACUUCAGGACAAUACAGUUCCUGGUUAUGUUCCCCCUCCCCAGCUCUGGCCUGAUCUGGCUGCUGCUUUUGCUCAUUGCGGGGAGGAUGCAAACAGCAGCAGAAGCCUGCUGGUGGUAACUGGAUAAAAGAAACAAGUACUUUAAGUGCUGCAGUGAGAGGAGAGGUACUUCCUGGGCAGGUUGAGGAGGGUUUCUGUUUCGAAAGGAUGAUAUUAAGCUUCCUAUUGUCUUGGCUUUUUUUUCCUGUUUCACUAGUUGAGCAAAUGUAUGUCUUUUCCUUGCUCAACUGUUUCGUUCUGUCUCUUUCUGACUUCUACAUGUCCCUCAUUCUCAUCUUCCUCUAUUAGGUGUUAGUUGAGUACUGCUAAUCUGCACUCCUGUGCAAUGAUGAUCGCUUGGAAAUAGAGAUUUCUUUCUGGCUUUUCAGAAAUGGAAACGUGGCCUCAGCAGCAUGGGGCAGCAAGGAGGAAAAGCUGCUGUUUGAGAAGCAAUAAAGGAUGAGCUGCUGUGUCCUAUUCGUUGUGCCAGGCUCAGAGGGAGCAACGGGCCUGGGUGUGCCUCCUUCCUCAGCUGUGGCAAUGCCAUCCCUGGAGAUGAAGGGGCUGAGAUGCAUGAGCCUGGGAAGGGGAAGAACAUGGUGGCAUCUUGUUUGUGAGGGCAGUGCUUUGACUGACUUAAGGGCGUCAUCUUCUGCUUCUAUCCAAAUUGAUACCUAACCUGCUGAGGCAGCCUUCAAUCCUACUGUAUCUGUAUAUCUGGAAGCUGUGAACAGUUUGCAUUUCAGAUACUUUAGUUUAAUGGCGAGCUACGAUUAAGUGCUCCUUCGUGUAUUAACGCUCACAGUUCUUUGAAAACUGCGAAUAUGGUGCAAACUCCUUUUAUGAGUGUGUGUGUGUGCAAAUUCCAUUCCAGCCAGCUGGCUUUUUGUUUUGUGAUUCCUUUGCAAUGUUCUCAGCUGUCAAGUGGAUUUUAUCAGCGGCCACGUGUGACUGCGGUGUUUCAUUUGAGAUCCGGCAAGGUGUCCCAGUGAGCAUUGCUGUGUGAUGUUAAUGUAGGCUUCUCCUCUUGUGCUCCUGUGUUACAGGUUGGUCAUCUACGAGAUCAGUCUCUCAUCAGCAUUUCCCUGUACAAAGUGCUUGGCUUCUUGGGGUGUAAGGACUCUCAUGUCUUCUCUGUUGUUACUGAGGAGCUCACCUGAGACCUUCUCAGUGUUGAUACAGACUGGGGGCUGGUUUGUCCUGUGCUGGUGACUGCAGCUUGGCUGGGUGGGUGUGCAGUGCUUUAGAGAAGAACAGGGGGAUCCUGGGUGCAAAGAGACUGUUUCAGCCUCGCUCUUAGUGGCUGCAGUGCCAGGAAGGCUGUGGUGUUAAGUGGAGAGCAACUGUAUUUUGGAUUAGCAAUCAGGAAAUAGAGACGCUAAAUCAAUGAAGUUUAAAGGGGAUAAUGCUGUUACAGGAGCAGUGAUCAACAGAAAUUAAAAACUCUGCACAAUAACUGUUAUCUGCCUGUCCAUUUGAGUUACCUCCACAGGUUCUUGCCUCCUCACAGCCUGCUAAGGGCUUCCUAGCAGAGGCUUGUAUGUUCUUUAUUUCCAUACAGGCGCUGUGCUUGCAGAGGCCAGUCAGGAUCCAGUGAGUCUUCUCUCCCUUCUGUGCUCCCAGCCCAGUAGAGGAGUUCCUUCAGAUGCAGACCUUGCCUGCGGGAAUGUUUUAAUCCUUACUUUGACGGGGAUGAUAUUGCGGUUUCUCUCACAAUAGUUAAUUGGCUGCCCUCUUCUUGCUGUGGGGGAUUAUGAAUCCCUUGGACAUGGUUGGAUGAGAUAAGAAAUGCCGGGACAGUUAAAUGGAGUCCGUUCAGGGUUUAGCCAAGCAGAAGAGUCCUCCUUAGCAAAUGAAGCAGAAUAGCAAUAACUCUUUCUGCGCUAUAGGGUGACCAACCCUGAGAGCAGAUUAUUUUGUGUUAUGAAUGCAAUGGCCUCUAUAAGCACCUAUCUUGCUAAUGACGUUUUGGGCAGUUAUGUAAUGGGGCUGAAUGCAAACAGCUUGCUUUCUACUCUUAUCUGAGGGGGGGGGGGAAAGGGCAGUACAAAUAAAUAUGCUGUGAGCUGCGGCUUUAAUAAAAUCAGAACUUUCAAAGAGGCUAAUUUAGAUGUGAUGUUAGAUAAUUGGUCUGUGUAAUGUGUUUUAUGUGAAGUUCAGUAAAUACCUUCAGUAAAAUUGCAUAUCACUUUAUAGUGAAGGUAAUAAACUGGUCCAGUGAAUUCUUCCUAAUGCCAUGCUCGGUUUGCAAUCCUCUGCCCUCACAUUAUUCUCUUAGUUUUCACAAUAAGCCUCGAAGUGCUGGCUGUCAAGGAGGAGUCGGGUCUUCCCACAAGUUGGCUUAGGGGAACAUUUUAACACAUCCGUGGUGGUAUCUGUGACUAUCUCUUAUGAUGCUGUGGCUGGAAAGCAGAUGACAGCUGCAGAUAAAACACGUGACAUAAUGUAUGAUUCAUGUGGGAAUGGGAUAGGAACCUUUGAGAAUGUACUUCCUCUUCAGAGAGAAGCAUCAACAUGUACGGUUCAGUAUGUCACUUAAUGAACUUUCUUAGUCUGCAGGUCGGGCCUGACAUUAAGCAAAAGGGCUCAGAGUAAUUGUGAUCAGAUGGCUUAAAAGGUCGUACGUAAAUUGAGUUCUGUGGUCACAGAUUACUUUUUAAUGGAUUACAAGCUUUAUUGUGAAAGCACUGGUUAUGAUCAGUUUAUACUUGACGAGAGGCUCUAAGACAGAUUAGGUGAAAUUAAAAAAAGCAGAAAGCUGGGUUGAAUGUCUUUUAGGGUUAAUGGGGCUUAAUUCCAUCUUGGCCACUGAGAAGCCUUCAGUAUGCGGAUAAACUCCCAGGCAAAAUAAUCACAUUCCAUCUUGGGGCAUCUGAAACUAAAUUGGAUGAAGUACUGGAAAAAAACCUGUCAAGAGCAAUUCAGCACUAGCAGUAAAAUGGACUGAACAACCUUGGUAAACAUGGCCUUUUCAAACAGUCCAUCUCAACAGCGUAGUCUGGCAUAUCAUAAUUUUGCUCCUAGCAGAUGAAAAUACUCCAGUGCCUCAGACAGCUCCCAAUAGAGGCUGAUAGAGCUGUGCUAGAUUUCUGUCCAAGGAACAGAAAUCAUUUUCACCCUGUAUUUUUAGCUUCUAGAUGCCUCGGAACUGAGAUACUGUAGUCAGUCGUACAGCUGACAGGGGAGCACAGGGACUUGUUUACUUUGAUCAGAAAAUUAGACCUUUUUUGGUGUUGGAAACCCAUCUUGAUUGUUAUUUGGCAUGAACUUAUUUGACGCUAAUAGAAUGAAGUGAAAGUAUGUCUUUGGGCAGACUGAUGCAAUAUUAGUAUACUUAAAGGAUGCACAAGGAAAUCCUGCAGUAGGGCUAUGGCACCUGGGUACGUUCAUAAACAUGUCAGAUGUUUGUUAAUCCAUGCCGCUGUCUGAUCAGCUGCUCCCAUUGUAAAGCGCUGGUAUUUUGAGCUGGGUGUUUGUGGAGCGGAGUGGCUGUGAGGGUUUGCAGGCAGUUGUUCUGUGAAAGCUCCUCCAUGUUAAGAUGGCUGCUCUUGAGAGGAUACAGUUGAUGUAUUCUCAUGGACCGAGGAAUUCACCAAUUCAACUGAAGGUCUGCGUUCUCAAAAGCCAACUCUGAGUCUGCUUCCCCCUGAAUCUGUUUAAAACUCACAUUUUCAGAUUCCAAGGUAGUCAUUAUUUUAUAGCCUUCUUUGAGCCCUUAAGUCCUCAUGGGUUGGCAGACUAUAUGAAAAUACAGGUGAUUGUUUGGUGUUCGGUCCGCAGUUGCUGAAGUUAUUGUACAAUUGAUGUAUUCUGUAUAUUUUAUUCAGCUGUAUUAUUCUCUGCAGCAUUCAGGACUGG